AUUGAACGCUGGCGGCAGGCCUAACACAUGCAAGUCGAAUGGUAACAGGAAACAGCUUGCUGUUUCGCUGACGAGUGGCGGACGGGUGAGUAAUGUCUGGGAAACUGCCUGAUGGAGGGGGAUAACUACUGGAAACGGUAGCUAAUACCGCAUAACGUCGCAAGACCAAAGAGGGGGACCUUCGGGCCUCUUGCCAUCAGAUGUGCCCAGAUGGGAUUAGCUAGUAGGUGGGGUAACGGCUCACCUAGGCGACGAUCCCUAGCUGGUCUGAGAGGAUGACCAGCCACACUGGAACUGAGACACGGUCCAGACUCCUACGGGAGGCAGCAGUGGGGAAUAUUGCACAAUGGGCGCAAGCCUGAUGCAGCCAUGCCGCGUGUAUGAAGAAGGCCUUCGGGUUGUAAAGUACUUUCAGCGGGGAGGAAGGGAGUAAAGUUAAUACCUUUGCUCAUUGACGUUACCCGCAGAAGAAGCACCGGCUAACUCCGUGCCAGCAGCCGCGGUAAUACGGAGGGUGCAAGCGUUAAUCGGAAUUACUGGGCGUAAAGCGCACGCAGGCGGUUUGUUAAGUCAGAUGUGAAAUCCCCGGGCUCAACCUGGGAACUGCAUCUGAUACUGGCAAGCUUGAGUCUCGUAGAGGGGGGUAGAAUUCCAGGUGUAGCGGUGAAAUGCGUAGAGAUCUGGAGGAAUACCGGUGGCGAAGGC
RNAcentral lists this ribosomal RNA (705 nucleotides) under uncultured Pseudomonadota bacterium. RNAcentral describes it as "bacterial SSU rRNA". It matches the Rfam family "Bacterial small subunit ribosomal RNA", at positions 28 to 722 of the family's 1533-position model. Lineage: Bacteria; Pseudomonadati; Pseudomonadota. The record is from RNAcentral.